UACGUAGGUGGCGAGCGUUAUCCGGAAUGAUUGGGCGUAAAGGGUGCGUAGGCGGCCUGCUAAGUCUGGAGUGAAAGGUACCGGCUCAACCGGUACAGGCUCUGGAAACUGGCGGGCUAGAGAGCAGGAGAGGGCGGUGGAACUCCAUGUGUAGCGGUAAAAUGCGUAGAUAUUAGGAGGAACACCAGUGGCGAAGGCGGCUUACUGGACUGUAACUGACGUUGAGGCUCGAAAGCGUGGGGAGCAAACAGG
This 252-nucleotide ribosomal RNA is filed under the name uncultured bacterium. RNAcentral describes it as "partial 16S ribosomal RNA". It matches the Rfam family "Bacterial small subunit ribosomal RNA", at positions 524 to 776 of the family's 1533-position model. The record is from RNAcentral.